Molecule: long non-coding RNA, 5755 nt
Filed under: Marmota monax (woodchuck)
Lineage: Eukaryota; Metazoa; Chordata; Mammalia; Rodentia; Sciuridae
Source: RNAcentral
GUUAUGAGCACCAGAAAGGUAGGUUCCCCACUGUCUGAGUUCUCCCAUUGCAAUUUCUCUUCGUUUACACACAAGACUACCUGGGUUCCAAUCUAGGAUCAGCCAUCCAGGGUUACUAGUAUGAUUUUGAACAAGGUGUUUCACUUCUCUGAGCCUAAGUUUCCUCAUCUAUAAAAUGAGAAAUUAGAUUCAAAUACCAUAGAGGCUCUUUAAAGAUCUUAUAUUCUGUGGACAUGAAGUUACCAAUAAACAUUGGGUCACAAAACUAACUACAUGUGUAUCAGAAACACCUUGGGGCUUUGAAAAAUUAUAGUUUCCAGGACCUCACCCUACUAAAUUUCUGGAGAGUGCACAGGAGUUUGCACUUUAGAAAACAGCCAUUCUAAUGUUUGGGAUUUACUGUCCUAGAUUCUCUAGGCUUUGUACUUUUUUUCCAAACUAGAAUGCAGGAAGUAGCCCUGGAGCACAUUUGCAUCAACCUUUAUUGGAUUUGAUUUAAGUUCAAUUAACUUGGCUUUUGUCAAGACUGAUGUAGAAAACAUGUACCAUUCAACAAAUGUCUAUUUCCUGGUAUUCAUCAUUUGCUGGUUUGGGUACCAAAACCAAAACAUGAAAUAUUACCUGUCCUGGGUUGCUUAUGUAUAAUGUAAGAGACAGAAAGAUUAAAAAAAAAAAAGUAAAAUAAAAUAGGUAGAAUGAUUGGGAAGAUACACAGGCUCUAUUAAGGGCACGCACACACAAAAAGACUGUGGGACCAGCCUUCCUGGUGUCAGAAUGUGUCAGAGGGAGCCCUCUUAGGCUGCAGAAAGGACUAUCGGAUAGGUAUUCCCAAAUAGUCUGCAGAACCACUUUGGAGGACCUAUCUCCUUAAUAUAUUUUUCCAUAUGGAUCCUAUAAGAAUUCCAUCCAGAAAACAAUGCUCCCCAUAAAGAACUUGUAUGUUUACUCUUUUUAGAUAUUGGCAACUGUAUUAACCUAUUAGUUGCUAUUUAUCUUGGGCUGCCAGGAUGCUCAGAACUGAGUUUGCAAUUACUGUAUACUUGCUUUCUGACAGUAACGUCCUCCUUUAUAUUUCUCCUGACUUUCCUUUUAUCUUUGACUAUGAGGCACUAUGGAGUAUGGAUACUGGAAUUGGACUUCUUGGUUUCAAUUCCCAGCUCUGUUCACUGGAAGCUGAAUGACCUUGACAAUUCAUUUAACCUCAGUUUUCUUAUCUUUAAAAUUGAGACAAAAAUUGUACCUGCUUCAUAGGGCUUUUGUAAGGAUUGGAAGAAUUCAUCUACAUAAAGCACUUGGGAUAGUGCCUGGCACAUGCUAAGCACCACACAGGUGCCAUUAAAUUUAUGGUUUAAAGUACCCUAUAUAUAUGAACUUGGCAUAGUACUCAAAUUCAUUUUGGAAAAGGCAUGGUAUAAAAGUUGUUUUUAAUCAAACAUUUAUUUUAAGUUACAGAAUUAUUACAUUCUUAUAACCAAUCUAAACAUUAAAGAAGUGAUUAUAGCCCCUCUCAAUCCAGGAAAUCACAACAUAGGAAAAAUCAAAAUGUUCCAUUUCCCUGGUUUUAGAUUCCUUAUCUAUAAAAUGUAGGCCCCCUACGAUAUAAUCUUCUUUCUAUCUUUAUUUGCUGAGAUUUUUGUUGAGCUUUUCUUUUAGUACUUCAUUAUACAAUAAAUAUAUAUAUAUCUAUAUAUAUAUAUAUACUAUAUAUAUAUAUGUAUAUAUAUAUAGUAUAUAUAUAUAUAUAUAUGUAUAGAUAUAUAUAGUAUAUAUAUAUAUAGAUAUAUAUAUACUAUAUAUAUAUCUAUACAUAUAUAUAUAAUAUAUUGAAUAGACAUUGAAUUUAAAUUUUGCAUUUUGUACACUUCCAAUUCUGAUAUGCUUCCCCCAGUGCCAAAUCACAAUACUGUCAGAAAUUAUCUUUCCAAAGCUCACCUGACAGUUUGAAAACUUAGUUUAUAUUAGUGUUAUGGUUUGCUUCUUUAAAAACUUGUCUGACAUAAAGUAUUUUAAAGUACCCUGCUUUAACUUGCUCAGAACAAUGCCUACUUUGGAGUUCCUUAUCAAUCAUCAGGUUGUUGUGAGGAUUUGAUGAUGUUUUGUUUUUGAUGUUACUUUCAUCUUGCAGAGCUCAAUAGGGUAAGAAGGUGGGGAUAGGGGGAUUCUAAAUUAUCUGCCAUCUUUAAUUGCCAAACUAUCCUGGAGAGGGGGCCCUGGAGAGAAAGCCAGCUUGCCCACAUCAGAUUUCUCUUUUUGCCCUAACAGUAUACACCUAUAUCCAGAGCCGGUUCUACCAAACCCCUGAGGUGAUUCUGGGUCACCCCUACAAUAUGGCCAUUGAUAUGUGGAGCCUGGGCUGCAUCUUGGCAGAGCUGUACACGGGUUACCCUCUGUUCCCCGGGGAGAAUGAGGUGGAGCAGCUGGCCUGCAUCAUGGAGGUGAGGAGGAAGGCCUGCUUGGUUGAUGUCCUUGGAUGGCUUCAGUCCUGACAUGGAGCUACAUCAGACUCAUCAAGGGCAGUGGCCUGCAUACUAUUUUUUUUUUCCUUUGGUCAAAGUUUCCCUAAAAGUGUUUUUGAAGUUACAUACUUCUUGUACAUUUUUGAGAACUAACAUUUUUAUUAUAAAUUUACAUAGUUUCAAAGGAUGCCAUUUCCCCCUUAAUGUAAAUUGUGACAUUUAAAAAUAAAACUGUUAAAGCAAUCUUUCAAAUAUAGCCAAAAGAAUUAAAAAAAAAAAAAGAGUGACCUAAUACCCACCAAAAUCUACCUUUAAAAGGACAUGAAUAAGUUCUUUAACAGUUGUACCUUUCUUUAACUCUUUUUCCUCCUUGAAUGAACUUUUUAAAUUCUACCUCAUAUAUAGAAUUUUAUUCUAAUUUAAUAUAGCUUUAUUUUUAAAUAUAUCAAUCACUAUAACUUCAAAUUUUUAUUAUCAUAAGCUCCAUGUGUAGAAUUUUUUUCUCAAGAGAUCACUAAAAUAGAACUAGUGCAUAAAUUAAGAUAAUUAGUAGGCAUAAAAUGUGAAAUUUUACUUCACAUUGUAUAUACCUCUUAGAAGAAUAAAUGGAGCUGAGUUUUCUCUUUUUCCCAUUAAUUUUUAUACCUGUAAGUGAACACUACUUCUUUUAAAAAAAUUUUUUUUAGUUGUUGAUAGACCUAUAUUUUAUUUAUUUAUAUGUGGUGCUGAGAAUUGAACCCAGUGCCUCACACAUGCUAGGCAAGUGCUGUACCACUGAGCCACAAACCCAGCCCCAACAUUACUUCUUGCUACAAUGAACAGGCUCAGGACCAGGCCAUUACAAUACAUUGAUUCCAAAGAUGUGAACCCAGGAAGGAAAGCUGUUCUAGUUAUGUUGUCUCAUUCUAUGACUUUUUUUGAAUUCUGUGUAACAGUUGAAUAAUGAUCUAUCAUCAGAAAUUAUUUUUAUCAACCUAUCAGCUGAAACAAAUAAUUGGAAAUUAUCUGACAAAAAAUAGGUAGCGUUCAGUAAUGACUUUUGCUCUUUUAACCUGGGAGGACUAUUUCCCAGUAAAAAGGCUUUACUAAGACUCAUCACAGGAUUAUUAAUCACAUCUCAUUUUUUUUUUCAAUGAAGUUUUCUUGUAGAGCUAAACUAGACAAAAUGGAGAAAAUAACUAAAAAUUUGAAAAAUUCAAAUUUUAGGAUUUUCCUAGUAAACUGAUAAAAGUUUGACCGUGAAUCUCUCUAAAUCAAAAGCUAAAUUUCUGUUUUCUAGAUUGUCUCAAAGUUAAUCAGUGACACAUGCCUUUGAGAAGUAUUAAAUAUAAAUGAUUUCAUUUGUUGUUUGAAACUAAUAAUAAAAUAUUAAAAUAAUUUAGAUGAAAAUAUCUAGAAAUGGUAACUAUGGUGGAAUCAACACUGGCCUGGGAGUUAGUAAGUUUGGGGUCUAGCCCUUGUUCUGACUUUUUGGCAAGUCAUUUCCCACUCUGGACUGGAAAAUGAAGGGGUCAGACCAGAUGACUUCUAAGGUUAGUAAUGAUUUUAUGAAAUAUCCCUGAACCAUUCCUGCUUCUAAUACCAAGGUGAAUGGGGCAUCUGGCUUGAGCUUCCCACUGCCCCAGGACUGACUCAGUUUCCCCUUGAUAUCUGUAGGGUUGAGGAGCAAGAAGGCAGGAUUGUGCAUGGAUUAUGGCCAGAAACCUAGGGCUGAGAGCAACCCAUAAAUUUCUUUAUCUGUACACUCCUAUAAGGUUCAGUAGAGAAAAGUGAAUAAGUAGGCCUACACUUUUCUUUCCAAGAAGGAAUUUAUCUUACAAGAAAUGCCUUCUCUGGUGAUUUGUAUCUCCUUUCCCUCCCUUCUCUUCCAGGUGUUCCAUGCUGGGGUGUGUCAUUCCUAAUUCAAUGUGAUCAGCAUGUACCGACAUUGAGAUCUGGCUGCUAUCAAGGUGGCUUGCCUUUGUUGGUGCUGAUGUAUGUUUAGAAUAGCAUGUGAAUCUUAAGAUACUGAGACAGCCCUGGAGACAUGAGCUCUGGGUCCGCCAUGCUACUGACUUGAUGUCAUCACUUAAUAUCCUCAAGUUCUUAUCUGUAAAAGGCAAAAUGUGGCCAAAGUCCCACCUAGCUCUUAACAGUCUUUGAAUCUGUGACUUCACCAAGAGUGAACCAACUAUGCUGUGCUUGUUGAAGGUGCUGGGUCUGCCGCCAGCCCACUUCAUUCAGAUGGCCUCCAGGAGACAGAAGUUCUUUGGUAAGUCCCCAAGUCUAAUCUCUUUAUCUCAUUGUGUCUAAUGAGGUGUCACAGGUCUUGAAGGUACUUCCCAUACCCUAAAUCUCAUAUUUUGCUUUUCUCCUGUCCCCAUACCAAAGGGCAGGAUGUGGUUUAGGAGCUUACAGGCAAUGAAAAGUGGUCCCAGAUGGCAUGCUGGAGAUGAGAUGGGUGAAAUCACAAGGGGAAUGGGUUCUUGGCAAUACAAAUGCAUUGGAGCAGGAGAAUGAUCAGGUUCCCACUCAGAAGACCAGUGAGAGAAGAGGGCUGUGGCUGCCUCAUCCCUGCAGUUGGCCCUUGCUCUGGAACACCCGACACAAGGCUGUUGAAGGCCCUGGUUCCUUGAACUGUUUUUUGUUACUGUUUGCAGUCAGUCACUUGCAAGCCAUCAUUUUACUUCCAACUGACUUAUAAAACUCUUUUUCUAUAAAGUAUAUUUAAUUUAUAUUUGAUGACUUAAAGAUGAUCAGUUAGUAAAGCUGUGCAUAGCCAAACUGCCCUUUCUUAUUCUACCUCUGUUAGCAAUUACUUUUUGUUAAAUGUUAGUCAUUGAUUUAGACAUUAAAAAAGCAAAGCAGUAUUAAAUUAUCUGCAAUUUAAUAUUUUUAUAAAGAUAUAUGUAAUUGCUAUAUUACUGUGAUAUUGGUUCCUAGGUAUUGGGGUGGUCAACUGCGGGGAGCCUUUGCAACCAGGAUGCUCUAUAUAUAAACAAAAAAUGUAUCAGGAGUUGGCUAUUUUACAAGUGUUUUUAUUUUUGUUUUAUUUUGUAUCAGAAAUUGAACCCAGGGGUGCUUAACCUUUGAGCCACAUCCCCAGCCCUUUUUAUAUUUUAUUUUGAGACAGGAUCUUGCUAAGUUGCUAAGGGCCUCGCUAAGUUGCUUAGGGUCUUGCUAAGUUGCUGAUACUGGCUUUGAACUAAUGAUCACCCUGCCUCAACUGUCCAGGUUGCUAAUUUUAAAGGCAUGCACCCUGUGCCUGGCCUUAUGAGUGUUUUUCCACUCAAACUGUCUACUGAAAGUCCCUAUAUUAC